RNAcentral lists this transfer RNA (72 nucleotides) under Camelus bactrianus (Bactrian camel). It matches the Rfam family "tRNA". From Rfam's summary of the family: Transfer RNA (tRNA) molecules are approximately 80 nucleotides in length. Their secondary structure includes four short double-helical elements and three loops (D, anti-codon, and T loops). Further hydrogen bonds mediate the characteristic L-shaped molecular structure. tRNAs have two regions of fundamental functional importance: the anti-codon, which is responsible for specific mRNA codon recognition, and the 3' end, to which the tRNAs corresponding amino acid is attached (by aminoacyl-tRNA synthetases). tRNAs cope with the degeneracy of the genetic code in two manners: having more than one tRNA (with a specific anti-codon) for a particular amino acid; and 'wobble' base-pairing, i.e. permitting non-standard base-pairing at the 3rd anti-codon position. RNAcentral also lists the same sequence under 2 other names. Lineage: Eukaryota; Metazoa; Chordata; Mammalia; Artiodactyla; Camelidae. The record is from Rfam by way of RNAcentral.
GUGGGUGUAGCUCAGUGGCAGAGUGCAUGCUCAGCAUGCAUGACGUCCUGGGUUCAAUCCCCAGUACUUUUA